RNAcentral lists this ribosomal RNA (373 nucleotides) under uncultured organism. RNAcentral describes it as "bacterial SSU rRNA". It matches the Rfam family "Bacterial small subunit ribosomal RNA", at positions 526 to 896 of the family's 1533-position model. The record is from RNAcentral.
CGGGGGGAGCAAGCGUUGUUCGGAUUUACUGGGCGUAAAGGGCGCGUAGGCGGCCACGACAAGUCACUUGUGAAAUCUCCGGGCUUAACUCGGAACGGUCAAGUGAUACUGUCGGGCUAGAGUGCAGAAGGGGCAACUGGAAUUCUCGGUGUAGCGGUGAAAUGCGUAGAUAUCGAGAGGAACACCUGCGGCGAAGGCGGGUUGCUGGGCUGACACUGACGCUGAGGCGCGAAAGCCAGGGGAGCGAACGGGAUUAGAUACCCCGGUAGUCCUGGCCUUAAACGAUGAAUGCUUGGUGUCUCGGGUUACAUAGUCCCGGGGUGCCGUCGCUAACGCUUUUAGCAUUCCGCCUGGGGAUACGGUCGCAAGACUG